This is an RNA transcript of Spinacia oleracea (spinach), 1077 nucleotides long. RefSeq lists it as uncharacterized. The record is from RefSeq and is a predicted model, not a curated record. NCBI's taxonomy places the organism in Eukaryota, Viridiplantae, Streptophyta, Magnoliopsida, Caryophyllales, Amaranthaceae. The transcript has 8 exons.
AAAGAGGAGUAGAAAAUAAGACGCAACUCAAAGCCGACGGUUCCAAAAUCCAACCACCGUGUUAACCCCUCCUAGAACCCUCUUCCACCAUUCCCAUUCUCUUUCUCUCUCCUCCACACAUCAAAAAGGAUGUUCUACUUAAGCUUAAUAGAACACAGAUUAAGAUUACCACCCAAAUUACUCGAUCUCCGUUUAGAAGAUGCAAUCAAGGGUCAGCUUGAAUCCAUCUUCUUAGACAAGGUAAUUGCGAAAGCGGGUCUUUGUAUAUCAGUUUAUGAUAUCAAAUCAAUUGAUGGCGGCUUUGUCUUACCUGUUGAAGGCGCUCCAACUUAUACGGUGGUUUUCCGUAUGGUCAUGUUCCGGCCGUAUAUUGGAGAAAUUAUUACCACGAAACUUAAGAAUUCAAACUUAAAAGGAUUACAAUUGACACUUGGGUUUUUUGACGACAUAUACGUACCUUCUUAUGCUCUGCCAGAACCAUCACAUAUGGAGCCCGAGCCCAAUGAUAUUGAUCCCAAGCAUGGGAGAUGGGUGUGGAGAUACAAUGAAAUGGAUUUGCCCAUUGAUGAUGAUAGUGAGAUACGGUUUCAAGUUAUUAGUGUUGACUACCCUCCAAUCCCGUUAGAACAAGAGGAAGGUGCAAAGCCAUUUGCUCCAAUGGUUAUUACCGGAUCUGUUAACUCUGAUGGCUUAGGUCCCCUUGCAUGGUGGUGAGUUCAUGAAAGCGUCUCAAACAAUAAUCAUGACGAAGCUGCUCAACUUAAGGGAGUUUAUACUAUAAGAGCUGGAGGUUGAAGGAAACCAGCAUUGGUGAAAUGAAUGAGAAUGGACAUGGCACAUGAUUCAAGCUGUUUGUCUUGGAUUCCUUCUUAAACAUUAAUUGCAUUCUUACUCUACAAAUUAUGCAUGUAAACUUGGCUAAAUUUUAGCUGAAACACCCUUUUUAAAGAAUUAUCACUUUUUAUUUUAUUUUAUGGUUUAAACAUAAAUAUUAGAAAUAAUAAUAGUAGAGCAAGAAUCUUUUUGGGUAAUAGCAAUGCCUCAUAGGUUAAAUUAUGUAAUUGCAUAUUGUAAAGU